RNAcentral lists this ribosomal RNA (575 nucleotides) under uncultured eukaryote. RNAcentral's name for it is "bacterial SSU rRNA". It matches the Rfam family "Eukaryotic small subunit ribosomal RNA", at positions 1191 to 1820 of the family's 1831-position model. The record is from RNAcentral.
CAAUCUGAAUCAACAUGAGAAUUAACAGGUCCAGACAUGGGCAGGAUGACAGAUUGAUAGUUCUUUCUGAUUCUAUGGGGUGGUGGUGCAUGCCGUUCUAGUUGGUGGAGUGAUUUGUCUGGUAAAUUCGAUAACGAACGAGACUCAACUACUAAAUAGAUCCGCGACAUACACGUGUCACGGAAGCUUCUUAGAGGGACUGUGUGGUAAAACCUCAAGGAAGUUUGAGGCAAUAACAGGUCUGUGAUGCCCUUAGAUGUCCUGGGCUGCACGCGUGCUACACUGAUGCACUCAGCUAGUUCCUGCCCCGAAAGGCGGUAGGGAAUCUUCAAAAUGCAUCGUGAUUGGGAUAGAUCUUUGUAAUUAUAGAUCUUAAACGAGGAAUUCCUAGUAAGCGCAAGUCAUCAGCUUGCGUUGACUAAGUCCCUGCCCUUUGUACACACCGCCCGUCGCUCCUACCGAUUCCGAGUGAUUUAGUGAACCUUUUGGACUUGCCUCAAGCGAGAAAAUUAAGUAAACCAAAUCACUUAGAGGAAAGAGAAGUCGUAACAAGGUUUCCGUAGGUGAACCUGCAG